CGGUGGAGCAUGUGGUUAAUUCGAAGCAACGCGAAGAACCUUAUCAGGCUUGACAUCCGAUGCUAUUUCUAGAGAUAGAAGUUACUUCGGUACAUCGGUGACAGGUGGUGCAUGGUUGUCGUCAGCUCGUGUCGUGAGAUGUUGGGUUAAGUCCCGCAACGAGCGCAACCCCUAUUGUUAGUUGCCAUCAUUCAGUUGGGCACUCUAGCGAGACUGCCGGUAAUAAACCGGAGGAAGGUGGGGAUGACGUCAAAUCAUCAUGCCCCUUAUGACCUGGGCUACACACGUGCUACAAUGGUCUGAACAGAGGGCUGCGAAACCGCGAGGUGAAGCUAAUCCCUUAAAACAGAUCUCAGUUCGGAUUGCAGGCUGCAACUCGCCUGCAUGAAGUUGGAGUUGCUAGUAAUCGCAGAUCAGAAUGCUGCGGUGAAUGCGUUCCCGGGUCUU
This 447-nucleotide ribosomal RNA is filed under the name uncultured Streptococcus sp. Its description in RNAcentral is "bacterial SSU rRNA". It matches the Rfam family "Bacterial small subunit ribosomal RNA", at positions 930 to 1382 of the family's 1533-position model. The record is from RNAcentral. Lineage: Bacteria; Bacillati; Bacillota; Bacilli; Lactobacillales; Streptococcaceae.